This 1308-nucleotide long non-coding RNA is filed under the name Cottoperca gobio. RNAcentral's name for it is "lncRNA (ENSCGOG00000005183.1)". Lineage: Eukaryota; Metazoa; Chordata; Actinopteri; Perciformes; Bovichtidae. The record is from RNAcentral.
AAAGGGGGUGGGACCAUUCAUAAAUGAUGUUGCACUAUAUUGUUAAAUUGCAUGCUGGACACAUUUAAUUUUAAGAAACUUUGACUAGGGAGGGCCCUGCGCCGCUCCCCGGGCCUCCGCGCAAUAUUGGAAUGACACGUACUACUAUCCACAUGACGGCAUCCAUCUUCUCCAACUAGAGUGGAACCAUGUCCUCCCUGAUACACAACUCAAAGUCCAAAAACAGACCAUUUGGCUCAACGAGGAGGCGUUGGCCACGCGGGCCGAAUACACAUGGCGAAUCCUCUCUGCUUUACCUCCGGCAUGGAUCUGCAUUCACUGAGGGAGGGAGGGGUCUCUUACACUAAAGUGUCCCUAGCGUCCUAUGUAACGUGACGCAAAUAACGUAGCCCAAUUGAAUAACGAGUGGAAUCCAAGUCUAAAAUAGUACCCAAGUGUCAAUAACAUCUUUUGUAAAUCAUAUACGAAGGCCGAUAGUUUACACGUAGGUCACAUAUUUACAGGAUUAAUGUGUAGCUGAAUCUAUACCUGUUGAUGGCACAAAGGUCUGUGAAAGCAGAACUUGGUCAAGUUUUGCAACAACAAAAACUCCAAAAUUGAAAUGUACUCAGUUUCGUGCUUAUCAAUUGAUUUGUAAUGGAUGAAAGUGAAACAAAAAAACAUAAUUCUAAUAGUGUCAGUUUCUUAAAGAUCUGGUAUCUAUCUAUAUUCACUCAGCUGCCAGUUUAUUAGGUACACAAAUCUAAAACUAGUGCAUUUUAAUACAAUCGUCCUGCAAUAAAUUGUACCUCAUCAUGUUCUGUUUUUGUUUGGUUAAAAAGACAAUUCAUUUGAAUCAACACUUCUCCAAAACAAUUCCCUCAGUGAAUGCAGAUCCAACACUGAGUGUGUCGAUUUAUACUUGGCAAAUUCAUAAUAUUAAAGUUCAAGUGUAAUCCCAACAUCUUCAGACUGAGUCUUUAGGCUACAUAACAGCAUAUGUUACAGUACAAGCUCAUUUCUAAAGUGUAUUUUCCAUCCGAGAGCUUUUUCUAGAAUCAUUUAAUUUCUAUAAUUAUGAUUUCUCACACAUGAGGUAUGGAUGACAAAUUAAAAACUAAUUAUAAAUUGUAGGCAGAAAAUGAAAAGCUACAUAUUAUUACUGUAUUUAUUGUCCUGUAAAUGUUUUUCAUUGCAACCUACAUCAUCUGCUAAGUAAUUUAUCCUUUAAACAGCUGGAGUCUGAAAAGUUGGUAAAACUGUAUUUCACGAAGAAAAGAAAGUAAGUUUAGGUGGAAGUAACCUCCUCUGCAGCCUUGCAAUUGUCAG